UUUGUUGAUCCAGUGAUGCUUAAGAAGAGUCUUCAAAUUGGACUAGAAAAGUUUGGCUGAGCAUGGGAGUAGCACCGAAGCAGAUUCAAGGUUGCUAGUUCUUCGUGGUUUCUAGAUUGUAUUUCCUGGUACUGUCAGAAUUAUGUUGUCGGUUUGUAUUUUCACCUCUAUUGUGCCUUAUUUUGAUACUGUCGUAUUAACUUGUGUUAAAACAUUUGUCAUUUUCUAGUUAUCUGUUCGUGAGACGGGUUGCUGUUUUCUAGUAGAAUGAUAUUGCACGGGAUCGCCCAUGAUGGAUGAUGUUCUAGCUAUUAGUCUUUGUUGUUGGUGUGAUGCCCGCGAUGGUGCAGCUGAUGAUUGUGGUGAUGGCGCUGAUGCUGAUUAUGGGCAGAUCUUGGUAUUGACACACUGAUGUUGUUC
RNAcentral lists this small RNA (420 nucleotides) under Oryza sativa Japonica Group (Japanese rice). RNAcentral's name for it is "misc RNA Os08g0486200". The record is from RNAcentral. Lineage: Eukaryota; Viridiplantae; Streptophyta; Magnoliopsida; Poales; Poaceae.